ACUACCCUGUGACCCCCAUCCCCCAGUAGUCACCAACUCCAAGUUCCCCUGCCUGCCUGUCCUCUGACCAGGGACACCUAGGAACUCCCAACUGUCCCUUCACUGAUCUAUAACCCCUAACCAACCCCGCUUCCCUCAGGACUCAGCCUACCUGCUGGGGACCCAGAGCUCUGGAGCAGUUUGAGAGGACGUUCUCAGCCAAGAUCCAAGCCCUGCAGGGCUGCUGUGGCACACACAGGGCUACCCUGCUAGACCGCAGCCCUGUGAGCCCACCCUCUGCCUGGUGACCCACGAGGAGGCUUCCCACACCCUGGGAGGCUGCUGGCAGGGAAGGCCAAGAGGGCAGGCAAAGCAGAGGACCCUGAGCCCAUCCUGUGCCCCAUCCCACCCUCCCAGUCCCACUUGAGCUCUGGUGGCCACUGGAUGGCAGCUCCAAACUUUUUCUCCUGCAGGCACCCAGGAGCUGAUUGGAGGAAGUCUCUUCUCUAGCCUGCAGAAGAUGGAUAUGCUGGAGGAGAUCAUAGCAGAGCUGCAAAGUGGAUACCAACUCAGAGACAAGCCCUGCCUCAGCCUCAUUCCUGACACAGAUUCCUAGGGUGCCCACGGUCCCCUCUAUAUAGAUAUUGCCCCUCAGAGCCUUCCAGGAGUGACUCCCUACUCAGUGCCUGCCCCAAAGGAAAUAAAAUGAUAAAGCAACCCA
This is a long non-coding RNA of Galeopterus variegatus (Sunda flying lemur), 700 nucleotides long. RefSeq lists it as uncharacterized. NCBI's taxonomy places the organism in Eukaryota, Metazoa, Chordata, Mammalia, Dermoptera, Cynocephalidae. The transcript is spliced from 2 exons. The record is from RefSeq and is a predicted model, not a curated record.